CGUCUAUAUACGUAUAGCAUAUCAAUAAGCGGAGGAAAAGAAACUAACAAGGAUUCCCUUAGUAACGGCGAGUGAAGCGGGAAGAGCUCAAAUUUGAAAUCUUCAAGGUUCUACCUUGACGAAUUGUAGUUUAAAGAAGUGUUUUUCUGUUAGAGGAGUAGCAAAAGCUCCUUGGAAUGGGACAUCAUAGAGGGUGAGAAUCCCGUAUUUGGUUAUUCUUUCUAGCUUUGUGAUACACUUUCAAAGAGUCGGAUUGUUUGGGAAUGCAGUCCAAAAUGGGUGGUAAAUUUCAUCUAAAGCUAAAUAUUGGCGAGAGACCGAUAGCGAACAAGUACCGUGAGGGAAAGAUGAAAAGAACUUUGAAAAGAGAGUUAAACAGUACGUGAAAUUGUCAAAAGGGAAGCGUUUGACACCAGUGUUGUUUUUUCCGAAAAUCAAUUAAGAAAUGGCUUGAUUUUGUGUUGUAUUGACCUUAUCAGCUUUCUUCACUCUUUUUCGAGUCUUUCUUAAUGCACUUUUCGGUUAACAAGUCAACAUCAAUUUCUUUUGUUGUAAAAGGGUAUUUGGAAGGUGGCUUUCUUUUCGGAGAAAGUGUUUAUAGCCUUAUACCUCUACAAUCGGAGAGAUUGAGGUCUGCAGCGUAGAUCCUUCGGGGCUAGAUACACUUGUGCUAAGUUAUAGCUUUUCAUAGACAACUUGUUGACUAUGUUUAGUCAUGUAGCUUACCCGCUUGUGCUAUUUUACCUACGCUUAGGAUGUUGAGUCAUCACACAUCUCU
This 778-nucleotide ribosomal RNA is filed under the name uncultured Neocallimastigales. Its description in RNAcentral is "partial large subunit ribosomal RNA". It matches the Rfam family "Eukaryotic large subunit ribosomal RNA", at positions 26 to 618 of the family's 3401-position model. The record is from RNAcentral. Lineage: Eukaryota; Fungi; Neocallimastigomycota; Neocallimastigomycetes; Neocallimastigales.